CUUCGUGCCUGCUCACCGCCGCCACUUCCAGCUAGGCCGUCGUCGCCGCGCCCCACCAGCUUCGUAACUACACUACCUGUCAUCCAGUAGCCCUGUUCGUCGUCGACACUCCAGUUCGAUUAAGGUACAUCUGCAGCGGGAAGGCCCAGACGAAGGAGAAGAGCACGGGGAUGUACCAGAGCGCCACGGUCCCCGCCACCGCCGAGAUGUCCGGGUCCUGCCCCAGCGCCACCAGCAGCGGCUCCGUGAACAGGUACACGGGGAGCUGCACCACGGCGCACGCCGACAGGAUGAUCCACGACCGCUGCAGGUAGAUGCCCAGCAUGUGGUACUGCUUCGCCCCGUACGACUGCCCGCACAGCGUCUCCAGCGCGCUCGCCAUGCCCAGCUGCAUGCAGAUGCAUAUGUAUGUAAUCCUCCUAUAUAUAUGGAUUGAUUCCAGAUGCUAAUUACUCCCUCCGUUCUUUUUUAUUUGUCGCCUAUAUUAGUUGAAAUCUAGCAAUAUAGUAGUAAUUAACAGAGGGACAAGCACGUGUUUGUGCCGCGGCCAAGAGUUGAAAUGUACUAGCAAUUAACCUCG
Molecule: unclassified non-coding RNA, 580 nt
Filed under: Zea mays
Lineage: Eukaryota; Viridiplantae; Streptophyta; Magnoliopsida; Poales; Poaceae
Description: misc RNA Zm00001eb405400
Source: RNAcentral